This 633-nucleotide ribosomal RNA is filed under the name Triticum aestivum (bread wheat). RNAcentral describes it as "partial small subunit ribosomal RNA". Lineage: Eukaryota; Viridiplantae; Streptophyta; Magnoliopsida; Poales; Poaceae. The record is from RNAcentral.
AUGGCUUUGCCGGCCUCGAUCUCCCACCUGGCUCACUUGGGACAGAAGCUAUGGCUGCAGGACACAGGGAAAAGCUUCUCUUGCGACGGUUGCCGUGAGCCCGGCAGGGGCGAGAGGUACAGGUGCCAUCCAUGCGACUUCGACCUCCACAAGCAUUGCGCCUUGGACAAGAGCAUGGCUUUGCCAGCCUCGAUCUGCCACCCCGCCCACUUGGGACACAGGCUGUCGCUGGAGGCGACCGAGUACUGGGAGUUCGUGUGCAACGGCUGCCGUGAGAGAGGCGCGGGCGAGAGGUACAGGUGCCGGGCCUGCAGGUUCGACCUCCACAAGCAGUGCGCCUUGGAAGAAGGAACCAAGAUCAUGGCUUUCCCACGCUCCAUCUCGCACCCCGAUCAUUGGGGGCACAAGCUGUCGCUGGAGGCGACUGACUACUGGAAGUUCGUGUGCAAUGGCUGCGGUAAGAGCGGGUUGGGCGAGAGGUACAGGUGCCGGGCCUGCAAAUUUGACCUCCACAAGCAGUGCGCCUGGGGCCAAGGGACCAAGAUCAUGGCCUCCUCAGGCUUGAUCUCCCACUCGGCCCACUUGGAACACAUGCUGACGCUGUGCGCCCCUGGCCUCUCCAACUUCGUGUGA